CAGUAGCCGCGGUAACACAGAGGGUGCGAGCGUUAAUCGGAUUUACUGGGCGUAAAGCGUGCGUAGGCGGCUUCUUAAGUCGGAUGUGAAAUCCCUGAGCUUAACUUAGGAAUUGCAUUCGAUACUGAGAAGCUAGAGUAUGGGAGAGGAUGGUAGAAUUCCAGGUGUAGCGGUGAAAUGCGUAGAGAUCUGGAGGAAUACCGAUGGCGAAGGCAGCCAUCUGGCCUAAUACUGACGCUGAGGUACGAAAGCAUGGGGAGCAAACAGGAUUAGAUACCCCGGUAGUCCCUGUCUCUUAUAC
This 301-nucleotide ribosomal RNA is filed under the name uncultured bacterium. RNAcentral describes it as "partial 16S ribosomal RNA". It matches the Rfam family "Bacterial small subunit ribosomal RNA", at positions 509 to 807 of the family's 1533-position model. The record is from RNAcentral.